RNAcentral lists this ribosomal RNA (427 nucleotides) under uncultured Lachnospiraceae bacterium. Its description in RNAcentral is "bacterial SSU rRNA". It matches the Rfam family "Bacterial small subunit ribosomal RNA", at positions 167 to 612 of the family's 1533-position model. Lineage: Bacteria; Bacillati; Bacillota; Clostridia; Lachnospirales; Lachnospiraceae. The record is from RNAcentral.
UACCGCAUAAGCACACGUGAUCGCAUGAUCGAGUGUGAAAAACUCCGGUGGUAUGAGAUGGACCCGCGUCUGAUUAGCUAGUUGGUGGGGUAAUGGCCCACCAAGGCGACGAUCAGUAGCCGGCCUGAGAGGGUGAACGGCCACAUUGGGACUGAGACACGGCCCAAACUCCUACGGGAGGCAGCAGUGGGGAAUAUUGCACAAUGGGGGAAACCCUGAUGCAGCGACGCCGCGUGAAGGAUGAAGUAUUUCGGUAUGUAAACUUCUAUCAGCAGGGAAGAAAAUGACGGUACCUGACUAAGAAGCCCCGGCUAACUACGUGCCAGCAGCCGCGGUAAUACGUAGGGGGCAAGCGUUAUCCGGAUUUACUGGGUGUAAAGGGAGCGUAGACGGCAGUGCAAGUCUGAAGUGAAAGCCCGGGGCUCAA